RNAcentral lists this ribosomal RNA (634 nucleotides) under uncultured Arcobacter sp. RNAcentral describes it as "bacterial SSU rRNA". It matches the Rfam family "Bacterial small subunit ribosomal RNA", at positions 69 to 717 of the family's 1533-position model. The record is from RNAcentral. Lineage: Bacteria; Pseudomonadati; Campylobacterota; Epsilonproteobacteria; Campylobacterales; Arcobacteraceae.
AGGGAUUUAAGCUUGCUUAAAUUGUCAGCUAAGUGGCGCACGGGUGAGUAAUAUAUAGGUAACGUGCCCUAGAGAAGAGGAUAACAUUUGGAAACGAAUGCUAAUACUCUAUAUGCCUUUAAGUCAUAAGACUGCAAGGGAAAUAUUUACAGCUCUAGGAUCGGCCUGUACGGUAUCAGCUUGUUGGUGAGGUAAUGGCUCACCAAGGCAAUGACACCUAACUGGUUUGAGAGGAUGAUCAGUCACACUGGAACUGAGACACGGUCCAGACUCCUACGGGAGGCAGCAGUGGGGAAUAUUGCACAAUGGACGAAAGUCUGAUGCAGCAACGCCGCGUGGAGGAUGACACAUUUCGGUGCGUAAACUCCUUUUAUAUAGGAAGAUAAUGACGGUACUAUAUGAAUAAGCGCCGGCUAACUCCGUGCCAGCAGCCGCGGUAAUACGGAGGGCGCAAGCGUUACUCGGAAUCACUGGGCGUAAAGAGCGUGUAGGCGGGUUAAUAAGUCAGAAGUGAAAUCCAAUAGCUCAACUAUUGAACUGCUUUUGAAACUGUUAACCUAGAAUAUGGGAGAGGUAGAUGGAAUUUCUGGUGUAGGGGUAAAAUCCGUAGAGAUCAGAAGGAAUACCGAUUGCG